GCAAACUUGGUCAUUUAGAGGAAGUAAAAGUCGUAACAAGGUUUCCGUAGGUGAACCUGCGGAAGGAUCAUUAUUGAAAUGACUCGAAGUGGACUGUUGCUGGCCUUUCACAAGGCAUGUGCACGUCUUCUUUAGAUCUAUUCAUCCACCUGUGCACUUUUUGUAGAAGUUCUCUAGGUUGUUGUUCGGUUGUGCAGCUCGCGCAGCUCUGUGAUGACCUAGGCUUCUAUGUCUUAUAAACUCUAUUGAAUGUAUUUGAAGGUCAUUUACUGGGACUUAACUGGCCCUUUAAACUUAUACAACUUUCAGCAACGGAUCUCUUGGCUCUCGCAUCGAUGAAGAACGCAGC
RNAcentral lists this unclassified non-coding RNA (349 nucleotides) under uncultured fungus. RNAcentral's name for it is "partial contains small subunit ribosomal RNA, internal transcribed spacer 1, and 5.8S ribosomal RNA". The stretch from base 1 to 73 matches the Rfam family "Eukaryotic small subunit ribosomal RNA", at positions 1759 to 1831 of the family's 1831-position model. The record is from RNAcentral. Lineage: Eukaryota; Fungi.